Molecule: ribosomal RNA, 271 nt
Filed under: uncultured archaeon
Lineage: Archaea
Description: partial 16S ribosomal RNA
Rfam family: Bacterial small subunit ribosomal RNA
Source: RNAcentral
UACGGAGGGUGCAAGCGUUGUUCGGAAUUACUGGGCGUAAAGCGUGCGUAGUCGGUAUUGAGAGUCAUUGGUGAAAUCCCCGGGCUUAACCCGGGAACUGCCAGUGAGACCUCAGUACUAGAGUGUGAUAGGGGAUAGUGGAAUGCCAAGUGUAGCGGUGAAAUGCGUAGAGAUUUGGCGGAACACCGGUGGCGAAGGCGGCUAUCUGGAUCACAACUGACGAUCAGGCACGAAAGCGUGGGGAGCAAACAGGAUUAGAUACCCUAGUAGU